This 801-nucleotide ribosomal RNA is filed under the name Triticum aestivum (bread wheat). RNAcentral's name for it is "partial small subunit ribosomal RNA". The record is from RNAcentral. Lineage: Eukaryota; Viridiplantae; Streptophyta; Magnoliopsida; Poales; Poaceae.
AUGGACCGGAUUUUGAGUGAGAUGAAUGAGCUUCAGAAGGAAAUGCUUAGUUUACCAGAGUUAUGCGCACAGAGGAUGAUUGAGAAACUGAACAAAACCGGCGUCUUCUACAAACCCGGUAACCUGGAAGAAGACAAAGAGAAUUUAUACGGAGGCAUUAAUGAGUCUUCAAACGAUGUUGGACGUCCGAAAAAAGAGUUUGUAUAUCAAAAAGAUGAUUCAGACCGGUUCCGCACACCUUCCAAAAUGAAUUUGCAAAAGGAUGAUGACAGCGUUGAUGUAACUUCUCGUGGAAACACACCUUUUUACUGCACACCUGAGUACUGGGAUAGUUUCAAGGGUGAUAUGGAUGAUCCUAUCCAAGUACCAGAAGUAUCAGAUGAAAAAGCUGCCACAUCUUUAGGGACGGACGAGAUCGCAUCACAUGCAUCGCUUGGUUCUCAAGGAGUACAAGAGGAAGUGGAGGAGGUAAUUAAUGCAUACUCAUCAUAUUUGGUCGACAAAGUUAAUGAUGAUCAUUUCAUGUUGACAACUUGGAGGAUACAUUGGUUGCUUCACAUUAGACCCAGAAAGAAGACCGCCGGUAACGAUUAUGAAGCAGAGUCGCAUAGUAAUGGACCCGUGAAUAGAUGUGAGGACAAGUAUAUCAAAAAAUCAAAGAGAAAACAACUAGCAGAAGAUAUCCAAGAAGCAAAUGCAACCGGAAUUGUGAAUUAUCCGGAUGUUUCCAAUUGGCCUAUUCAAACGUAUGACAUGCCAAAACAACAUGAUGGGAAUUCGUGUGGAAUAUUUCUCCUUUGA